Molecule: ribosomal RNA, 462 nt
Filed under: uncultured bacterium
Lineage: Bacteria
Description: bacterial SSU rRNA
Rfam family: Bacterial small subunit ribosomal RNA
Source: RNAcentral
UCCUACGGGAGGCAGCAGUGAGGAAUAUUGGUCAAUGGGCGGGAGCCUGAACCAGCCAAGUAGCGUGCAGGAUGACGGCCCUACGGGUUGUAAACUGCUUUUAUGCGGGGAUAAAGUGACGUACGCGUACGUUUUUGCAGGUACCGCAUGAAUAAGGACCGGCUAAUUCCGUGCCAGCAGCCGCGGUAAUACGGAAGGUCCGGGCGUUAUCCGGAUUUAUUGGGUUUAAAGGGAGCGCAGGCCGGCGCUUAAGCGUGACGUGAAAUGUAGAUGCUCAACAUCUGAACUGCGUCGCGAACUGGGUGCCUUGAGUGAGUCCGAUGUGUGCGGAAUUCGUGGCGUAGCGGUGAAAUGCUUAGAUAUCACGAAGAACCCCGAUUGCGAAGGCAGCACACAAGGCCUUUACUGACGCUAAUGCUCGAAGGUGCGGGUAUCGAACAGGAUUAGAUACCCUGGUAGUCC